Molecule: non-coding RNA, 1483 nt
Organism: Tetranychus urticae (two-spotted spider mite)
Lineage: Eukaryota; Metazoa; Arthropoda; Arachnida; Trombidiformes; Tetranychidae
Source: RefSeq, a predicted model, not a curated record
AUAAUCGAGUUUUAUGGUAACAUAGAGACGACUCUUUCAUUUUCAUUUCUCUUCGUUUCCCAACAUCAACAUCAUCAACCUUUUCCUCCUUUUCCCAAUCUCUUUGCUGUAAACAGUGUCAUCCAGUGAGUAAAUGCCUUGAAUUAACUUACCUGUGUUUACUAGUGUCAGUGAUUCUACUCACCUUUUCAUUUUAUUAACAAUUGUAAAUUAAAUUGACUAUUAUUCAAGUGAUUUACAGUGAGCUGAUCCAUACGCUAAGCUUAUUCAUCUCUUCUCCUCUCUUACAAUAAUUAACAAAUAAUUAUUACGUUCUUGAUCUACGUUCAAAUCAUUUACCAUGAUACCUUCCUCCUAAAACGACCUGUGAAAUCAAAUAAUCAAAGGACCUGAACGACCUGCAACAAAUAAUUAUUAACAGUGACCAAAUUAAAAGUCAAAUUUAAAUCAAAAAUCAAAAAUCUAAAAUUAAAUCUUUCUCAAACAAAUAAAAAGUUUAUUUAAAUAAAAAUCUCAAUCAAAUUAUUAAUAUCUCCAGCAAACACGCACGAUCAUGGUUCGCUUCUGGUGGAAGAGGUGCAAUUCAGUCUCAACAUCUCUGAUAUAUGGUUUCGAUGGGAAAUUGGCAAAUACCUGAAAACAUACUCCACUUCAAAAAUAAUUAUUUAUAUUCUGUGAGGACGAUGUCAACAAAACCUGAACAUGGAAUCAACCUCUUCUUCAUGAGAUUUCUGAGUGCGAUCGGUUAUGCUCUGGUAAGCUGACAAAAACUUGGUUCAAUCGACUAAUCGAUGCUCGUAAUUCACCUGAAGGCUUAAGCAAUUUUCCUUUCAAUACAAUGAAGGAACUUGAAACUUAUAGCGAAAACUCAGUGUCACCAGUUUUAUAUCUAAUAAACGAGGCCAUGUUAUCCACCUGUAAAUCUUCAUCUAUUAAACCUGAUGUUUAGUUAAAAUUAGAUCACAUUGGAAGUCAUAUUGGGAAAGCUGUUUUUAACGAUGUUUUUCUUGGAGUUGGCUCGGAUGAAAUUGAUUUUUUGGUCUAAUCUGAAUCGGAUAAAGAGUCGAAUUUUAAUUCAUGGAUUAAUUUUUGAAGGUGAAACGCUAACCUAACAUGCAAUUAUGGAUCAUUUGGAUAAUCCAGAAUGCAACAGCAAUGCAUAUGAUAGUCAAUUCAUUCAAUCGCCUUCCAAAUAACACUGAAUAUCUGAAGAAACGUUAUAUAUUUCAACUGGCUCUAUUUCAGUUGAAUUUGGACAGAUGUGAUUGAAUAAAUUAGAUGAAUAACAGCAUGCCAAAACUCUUGAAACAUUUAACUUCAUGUCUUGAUUACAACAAGAAAUCAAUUUAAAUGAUGGAUGAUGAGAUUUUUCAAAGCCAAGGCAAAUAAAUCUUUGAGUAUGUCUUCAAAUCGGUACAGUACUUUGGAUGGAUAAUGACAAUCGAUAUAUUCUUCGGGAACUUUAUAAGUCAUAUCAUAUUUG